This 104-nucleotide antisense RNA is filed under the name Vibrio nigripulchritudo. RNAcentral describes it as "Vibrio RNA AS9". It matches the Rfam family "Vibrio RNA AS9". Rfam says of the family: Identified by direct cloning an parallel sequencing experiments with 5S/tRNA depletion. Confirmed by Northern blot. The record is from Rfam by way of RNAcentral. Lineage: Bacteria; Pseudomonadati; Pseudomonadota; Gammaproteobacteria; Vibrionales; Vibrionaceae.
AUGUUCACAACGCUCCUUGGUCAUAGUUAGGCAAAUAAGACCACGACCGUAAGUCGCCAUAAAAUUAAUGGCUUCUGGCGUCACGAGCUCAGCGGCCAUAAUGA